This 82-nucleotide transfer RNA is filed under the name Paragonimus westermani. RNAcentral describes it as "tRNA-Ser". It matches the Rfam family "tRNA". Rfam says of the family: Transfer RNA (tRNA) molecules are approximately 80 nucleotides in length. Their secondary structure includes four short double-helical elements and three loops (D, anti-codon, and T loops). Lineage: Eukaryota; Metazoa; Platyhelminthes; Trematoda; Plagiorchiida; Troglotrematidae. The record is from RNAcentral.
GUCGCGGUGGCCGAGUGGUUAAGGCGUUGGACUCGAAAUCCAAUGGGGUUUCCCCGCGCAGGUUCGAAUCCUGCCCUCGACG